This 403-nucleotide ribosomal RNA is filed under the name uncultured bacterium. RNAcentral's name for it is "bacterial SSU rRNA". It matches the Rfam family "Bacterial small subunit ribosomal RNA", at positions 28 to 429 of the family's 1533-position model. The record is from RNAcentral.
GUUGAACGCUGGCGGCAUGCCUAACACAUGCAAGUCGAACGGCAGCACGGCAGUAGCAAUACUGUGGGUGGCGAGUGGCGGACGGGUGAGGAAUACGUCGGAAUCUGCCCAGUCGUGGGGGAUAACUAGCCGAAAGGUUAGCUAAUACCGCAUACGACCGAGAGGUGAAAGCGGGGGACCGCAAGGCCUCGCGCGAUUGGAUGAGCCGACGUCGGAUUAGCUAGUUGGUGGGGUAAAGGCCCACCAAGGCGACGAUCCGUAGCUGGUCUGAGAGGAUGAUCAGCCACACUGGAACUGAGACACGGUCCAGACUCCUACGGGAGGCAGCAGUGGGGAAUAUUGGACAAUGGGCGCAAGCCUGAUCCAGCAAUGCCGCGUGUGUGAAGAAGGCCUCGGUUGUAAG